AUACGUAGGUGGCAAGCGUUGUCCGGAAUUAUUGGGCGUAAAGCGCAUGUAGGCGGUUUGGUAAGUCGGUCAUGAAAAUGCGGUGCUUAACGCCGUAUGGCGAUUGAAACUGCUGAACUUGAGUGCAGGAGAGGCAAGGGGAACUCCCAGUGUAGCGGUGAAAUGCGUAGAUAUUGGGAAGAACACCGGUGGCGAAGGCGCCUUUCUGGACUGUGUCUGACGCUCAGAUGCGAAAGCCAGGGUAGCGAACGGGAUUAGAUACCCCGGUAGUCCUGGCCGUAAACGAUGGGUACUAGGUGUGGGAGGUAUCGACUCCUUCCGUGCCGGAGUUAACGCAAUAAGUACCCCGCCUGGGGAGUACGGCCGCAAGGCUUAAACUCAAAGGAAUUGACGGGG
This 396-nucleotide ribosomal RNA is filed under the name uncultured bacterium. RNAcentral describes it as "partial 16S ribosomal RNA". It matches the Rfam family "Bacterial small subunit ribosomal RNA", at positions 523 to 918 of the family's 1533-position model. The record is from RNAcentral.